AACGAACGCUGGCGGCAGGCUUAACACAUGCAAGUCGAACGCCCCGCAAGGGGAGUGGCAGACGGGUGAGUAACGCGUAGGAAUCUACCCAUUAGCCUGGGAUAACAGCGGGAAACUGCUGCUAAUACCGGAUACGCUCCUUCGGGAGGAAAGGUUUACUACUAAUGGAUGAGCCUGCGUUAGAUUAGCUAGUUGGUGAGGUAAUGGCUCACCAAGGCUCCGAUCUAUAGCCGGUCUGAGAGGACGAUCGGCCACACUGGGACUGAGACACGGCCCAGACUCCUACGGGGGGCAGCAGUGGGGAAUAUUGGGCAAUGGGCGCAAGCCUGACCCAGCCAUGCCGCGUGAGUGAUGAAGGCCUUAGGGUUGUAAAGCUCUUUUAGUAGUGAAGAUGAUGACAGUAGCUACAGAAAAAGCCCCGGCUAACUUCGUGCCAGCCGCCGCCGUAA
This 449-nucleotide ribosomal RNA is filed under the name uncultured bacterium. Its description in RNAcentral is "partial 16S ribosomal RNA". It matches the Rfam family "Bacterial small subunit ribosomal RNA", at positions 29 to 523 of the family's 1533-position model. The record is from RNAcentral.